GACGAACGCUGGCGGCGUGCUUAACACAUGCAAGUCGAACGAUGAAGCCGGAGCUUGCUCUGGUGAAUUAGUGGCGAACGGGUGAGUAACACGUGAGUAACCUGCCCUUGACUCUGGGAUAACUGCUAGAAAUGGUAGCUAAUACCGGAUACGACCCUCGGAGGCAUCUCCAGGGGGUGGAAAGAAUUUCGGUCAAGGAUGGACUCGCGGCCUAUCAGCUAGUUGGUGAGGUAACGGCUCAACAAGGCGACGACGGGUAGCCGGCCUGAGAGGGUGACCGGCCACACUGGGGCUGAGACACGGCCCAGACUCCUACGGGAGGCAGCAGUGGGGAAUAUUGCACAAUGGGCGCAAGCCUGAUGCAGCAACGCCGCGUGAGGGAUGACGGCCUUCGGGUUGUAAACCUCUUUUAGUAGGGAAGGAGCGAAAGUGACGGUACCUGCAGAAAAAGCACCGGCUAACUACGUGCCAGCCGCCGCGGUAA
This 484-nucleotide ribosomal RNA is filed under the name uncultured bacterium. Its description in RNAcentral is "partial 16S ribosomal RNA". It matches the Rfam family "Bacterial small subunit ribosomal RNA", at positions 28 to 523 of the family's 1533-position model. The record is from RNAcentral.